This 1389-nucleotide ribosomal RNA is filed under the name uncultured marine archaeon. RNAcentral's name for it is "bacterial SSU rRNA". It matches the Rfam family "Archaeal small subunit ribosomal RNA". The record is from RNAcentral.
UUGAUCCUGCCGGAGAUCACCGCUAUCCGGGUUCGGCUUAUCCAUGCGAGACGAGAGGGGUUAAGCCCUCGUCGUACUGCUGAGUAACACGUAGUCAAUCUACUCUUAGGUGGGGAAUAAUCUUGGGAAACUGAGGCUAAUACCCCAUAGAUUAUAGAUACUGGAAUGUUCUAUAAUCCAAAGCUCCGGCGCCUAAGAAUGAGACUGCGGCCUAUCAGAUUGUUGUCAGGAUAAAAACCUGACAAGUCUAUAACGGGUAAGGGCCAUGAGAGUGGAUGCCCUCAGAUGUUUUCUGAGACAUGAAAACAGGGCCUACGGGUCGCAGCAGGAGCGAAAACUUUCCAAUGCGUUAAUGCGUGAGAAGGGAACCUGGAGUGAUUACACUUCAAGUGUAAUCUUUUGUUUAGGCUAAAGAUCUAUUCGAAUAAGGAGUGGGCCAGACAGGUGCCAGCCGCCACGGUAAUACCUGCGCUCCAAGUGGUGAUCAUUUUUAUUGGGCUUAAAGCGUCCGUAGCCGGUUUAAUAAGUUUCUAGUGAAAUCCUGCAGCUAACUGCAGGGCGUGCUGGAAAUACUGUUAGACUUGGGACCGGGAGAAGUCAGAGGUAUUCCAUGUGUAGGGGUUAAAUCCCUUUAAUCCAUGGAGGACCGCCUGUGGCGAAUAUUUUGAGUAUUGAAAAUUAUAAGCACACAAAAUAUUCCAUAAAAGGCGUCUGACUAGAACGGGUCCGACGGUGAGGGACGAAAGCUAGGGGAGCGAUCGGGAUUAGAUACCCCGGUAGUCCUAGCCGUAAACGAUGCCCGCUUGGUGUCGCGUAUCUUAUGUGGAUAUGCGGUGCCGGAGCGUAAGUGUUAAGCGGGCCGCCUGGGGAGUACGUCCGCAAGGAUGAAACUUAAUGGAAUUGGUGGGGGAGCACACAAGAAGUGGAGGCUGCGGUUCAAUUGGAUUCGACGCCGAACAACUCACGGGGGUUGACAGCAGUAUGAUGGUCACUCUGAAGGGGUUACCUGACGCGCUGAGAGGUGUUGCAUGGCCAACGUCAGCUCGUACCAUGAGGCGUGCGCUUAAGUGCGUUAACGAGCAAGACCCACGCCGUCAUUUGCUAUUAUCUUCUCCGGAAGGUAAGCACCAUGACGGGACCGCUGGUGAUGAACCAGAGGAAGGUGUGGACAACGUUAGGUCCGUAUGGCCCGAAUACCCUCGGCUACACGCGGCCUACAAUGGGUGGUACAAUGCGAUGCAAUACUGAAAAGUAAAGCUAAUCGUUAAAGCCACUCUUAGUACGGAUUGAGGAUUGUAAUUCAUCCUCAUGAAGCCGGAAUUUCUAGUAGGCGAAAUUCACUAUAUUUCGCCGAAUACGUCCCUGCUCUUUGCACACACCGCCCGUCAA